This 335-nucleotide long non-coding RNA is filed under the name Taeniopygia guttata (zebra finch). RNAcentral describes it as "lncRNA (ENSTGUG00000027890.1)". The record is from RNAcentral. Lineage: Eukaryota; Metazoa; Chordata; Aves; Passeriformes; Estrildidae.
AGCAUGUUUUUUAGGUUAAGGACAAGCACUGCUUUGGUAUAAGGCUGCCUGGAUAUUCAGGUUUCCUCUGGCCACAGCAAUCCAAGGCAAAGGCUGCUGUAUGCCCUGGCCAGGGAUCUCCAUACCCUAACAAGAAUUGCAUGAGGAAUUCUGAGUGAACUGUGCUGUGCACAAUGCCUCCAGGUAUCAGUGGUAAGUUCCACAGCCCCUUUUAGCAUGUGAUUUACAAAGAGAAGGCCACAAUGUGAUUUGGUGUCUUUCUGCCCAUGCUGAGGUUUAUAUAAAGUGUGCAGCACUUUCUAUGUUGAAUUUAUUGACACACCCAAAUGUGCACA